GCACCUGUGGCGGAAUAGGUAGACGCGCACGCUUGAGGGGCGUGUGAAGCAAUUCGUAAGAGUUCAAAUCUCUUCAGGUGCACCA
This 85-nucleotide transfer RNA is filed under the name Erysipelothrix larvae. RNAcentral describes it as "tRNA-Leu". It matches the Rfam family "tRNA". Rfam says of the family: Transfer RNA (tRNA) molecules are approximately 80 nucleotides in length. Their secondary structure includes four short double-helical elements and three loops (D, anti-codon, and T loops). Further hydrogen bonds mediate the characteristic L-shaped molecular structure. tRNAs have two regions of fundamental functional importance: the anti-codon, which is responsible for specific mRNA codon recognition, and the 3' end, to which the tRNAs corresponding amino acid is attached (by aminoacyl-tRNA synthetases). tRNAs cope with the degeneracy of the genetic code in two manners: having more than one tRNA (with a specific anti-codon) for a particular amino acid; and 'wobble' base-pairing, i.e. permitting non-standard base-pairing at the 3rd anti-codon position. The record is from RNAcentral. Lineage: Bacteria; Bacillati; Bacillota; Erysipelotrichia; Erysipelotrichales; Erysipelotrichaceae.